RNAcentral lists this ribosomal RNA (1354 nucleotides) under uncultured bacterium. Its description in RNAcentral is "bacterial SSU rRNA". It matches the Rfam family "Bacterial small subunit ribosomal RNA", at positions 28 to 1381 of the family's 1533-position model. The record is from RNAcentral.
AUUGAACGCUGGCGUCAUGCCUUACACAUGCAAGUCGAACGGCAGCACGGGUGCUUGCACCUGGUGGCGAGUGGCGAACGGGUGAGUAAUACAUCGGAACGUGUCCUGUAGUGGGGGAUAGCCCGGCGAAAGCCGGAUUAAUACCGCAUACGAUCUACGGAUGAAAGCGGGGGACCUUCGGGCCUCGCGCUAUAGGGUUGGCCGAUGGCUGAUUAGCUAGUUGGUGGGGUAAAGGCCUACCAAGGCGACGAUCAGUAGCUGGUCUGAGAGGACGACCAGCCACACUGGGACUGAGACACGGCCCAGACUCCUACGGGAGGCAGCAGUGGGGAAUUUUGGACAAUGGGCGAAAGCCUGAUCCAGCAAUGCCGCGUGUGUGAAGAAGGCCUUCGGGUUGUAAAGCACUUUUGUCCGGAAAGAAAUCCUUGGCUCUAAUACAGUCGGGGGAUGACGGUACCGGAAGAAUAAGCACCGGCUAACUACGUGCCAGCAGCCGCGGUAAUACGUAGGGUGCGAGCGUUAAUCGGAAUUACUGGGCGUAAAGCGUGCGCAGGCGGUUUGCUAAGACCGAUGUGAAAUCCCCGGGCUCAACCUGGGAACUGCAUUGGUGACUGGCAGGCUAGAGUAUGGCAGAGGGGGGUAGAAUUCCACGUGUAGCAGUGAAAUGCGUAGAGAUGUGGAGGAAUACCGAUGGCGAAGGCAGCCCCCUGGGCCAAUACUGACGCUCAUGCACGAAAGCGUGGGGAGCAAACAGGAUUAGAUACCCUGGUAGUCCACGCCCUAAACGAUGUCAACUAGUUGUUGGGGAUUCAUUUCCUUAGUAACGUAGCUAACGCGUGAAGUUGACCGCCUGGGGAGUACGGUCGCAAGAUUAAAACUCAAAGGAAUUGACGGGGACCCGCACAAGCGGUGGAUGAUGUGGAUUAAUUCGAUGCAACGCGAAAAACCUUACCUACCCUUGACAUGGUCGGAAUCCCGCUGAGAGGUGGGAGUGCUCGAAAGAGAACCGGCGCACAGGUGCUGCAUGGCUGUCGUCAGCUCGUGUCGCGAGAUGUUGGGUUAAGUCCCGCAACGAGCGCAACCCUUGUCCUUUGUUGCUACGCAAGAGCACUCUAAGGAGACUGCCGGUGACAAACCGGAGGAAGGUGGGGAUGACGUCAAGUCCUCAUGGCCCUUAUGGGUAGGGCUUCACACGUCAUACAAUGGUCGGAACAGAGGGUUGCCAACCCGCGAGGGGGAGCUAAUCCCAGAAAACCGAUCGUAGUCCGGAUUGCACUCUGCAACUCGAGUGCAUGAAGCUGGAAUCGCUAGUAAUCGCGGAUCAGCAUGCCGCGGUGAAUACGUUCCCGGGUCU